AAAGGAUUUGCUUUUGCUACUCUCUAUUUCCAUAAUUUUUACAGAUUUUGAUUUCAUCAAGCUUACUUACCAAAAUAUUGAUUUCCAUUGUUGUAGCAAGCAAGCUGAAGGGAUUUGACAGGAGAUUUGUCAAAAGAAGGUGAUGAAAGCGCCAAUUUUUUCAAGAAGUGUUUCAAAUCACAACAUCUUAGUUCAACUUGGUCACGAUAAAAAGGGGUAAGUUUUUUUUGAAUUUCUGUUGAAAAUAUUAGAUAGUUAGUGAGAUUUAGAUAGUUAAAUUUCAGACUUUUUUUAAAGAUUUGUAUCAAUUUUAAUUUAUUAUUUUGCUAAAGAAAAAAGAUAUUUAUUUGGAAAUAAUCCAAACAGUUUUUGAAUUUUUUCAUUUUAUCCAUACUUAAAAGAAUUUUGUCAUUAUAUCCAUACCUAAAGAAACAUUUAUNNNNNNNNNNNNNNNNNNNNNNNNNNNNCAUGAGAUUAAAUAUGUAUUUACUAUUAUAAACAUAAAGCAUAUGCAAUUUCAGGAAACACAUGAUUUGAAUGUUUUAGAAACAUUUGAUUAAUUGCUUUUGUGAACUUCUCAGUACUUUAGUAAUACUUAUUUAUUCUUAAUCAAGCUUUGAAGAGUUAAGUUUUGCUUAGUCAUUGUUUUAAUGGUCUCUAAAACUUUACUAGAUAGAUAAUGAUAAUUUAGUCCAUUCGAACAUCAAUGAACCCACUAAAUAUGUUCAUUGCUCUUCUACAAUUUGAUUUUUCAUGGCAAAGUUCAAUUUUGUCAGUUGGUUUCAAAUAUUUGGGAAAAAUAUAUUGCUUUCCCAUGUAAUAGUAAUUUCUCAAGGGAAAAAGUUUAAAAUUAUAAAUGUUACUAUUUUGUUUAUGAAAAUAGAUCAAAAACUAUAAAUGUUAAGAGUACAAUUUUCAUAGUACAAUUUUGAUUUUCGGAUCUCUCAUUUGAGAGUAGAAACAUAAGUUAAAGGUCAUUGCUAGAUAAAUAAAUUGUUUUCCUAUGUAAUAGUAAUUUCUCAAGGGAAAAAGUCUAAAACUAUAAAUGUUACUAUUUUGUUUAUGAAAAUAGAUCAAAAACUAUAAAUGUUGAGUAUUAUAUUGCUACAACGGGGAUAUGUCUUCUCACUCAUAUUAUGAGCAUAUUGGUGUUUCCUUUUCAUAUAUGAAAUCAUAUUUGCAAAUUUCAUGAUAUGUAUUAAGUAGGAUUAGUCUUGCUUCAAGAACUAUUGAAUUUGUUAUCCAUAUUUGUGCUUUUAACUUGGAUAUUGAAGUUCUUUCGUAGAUGAUUCUUAGAUCUUGAUCGACUGAUUUUAGCCAUGAACUGAAUGAAUGGUUUCAUCACCCNNNNNNNNNNNNUUAAGGACAUCAAUUUGCUUUGGUUGAAUCUUAUGAUGUUUUGGUCCGGUUGCCUCAGGACUGGAGUUAUUGCUUCUGAAGCCUGAGCAUAAUGCAUAAUGGUUUGCUCCGGUUGGCGUGAGAUCUCAAGGCGCAAUAUUUGCUACACAUUAAUUGCAAUUAUAAUUAUAAUGUAUAUAAGAAACUAAGUAUACUAAUUCUUUUGGUGAAUAGUUUUACUUUAUAUUUUUGUUGAUUUUUCUACUUUGCUUUAUAGUUUUACUUUGUUUGCACAAUAUGUUUAGGAUCAUUUCUCAAUCAGGAUCUCAAAAACACGGGGGGCUUAACAACAAACACUAUAACUAUUCUAUCCUUGAAAUAAUGCAUAUCUUUUUGAAUUGUGUAAUAUUAAGGCAAAUUUUACAGAUGCUGAAAUCUUAAUUGCCCGACAAGUUCUAUAUUGAAUGAUUUAUUUAUUUACGGUAACAUUUUGACAAUACGUAUAUCAAUUGUACGAAAUUACUAAAAGACGG
Molecule: long non-coding RNA, 1871 nt
Filed under: Trifolium pratense (red clover)
Lineage: Eukaryota; Viridiplantae; Streptophyta; Magnoliopsida; Fabales; Fabaceae
Description: long non-coding RNA (TPRA_LNC012776)
Source: RNAcentral